RNAcentral lists this transfer RNA (74 nucleotides) under Opitutaceae bacterium. RNAcentral's name for it is "tRNA-Gln". It matches the Rfam family "tRNA". Rfam says of the family: Transfer RNA (tRNA) molecules are approximately 80 nucleotides in length. Their secondary structure includes four short double-helical elements and three loops (D, anti-codon, and T loops). The record is from RNAcentral. Lineage: Bacteria; Pseudomonadati; Verrucomicrobiota; Opitutia; Opitutales; Opitutaceae.
UGCCGGGUCGUCUAACAGCAGGACAGCGGUCUCUGAAACCGUGGGUGCAUGUGCGACUCAUGCCCCGGCAGCCA